AUGGGGCAGUGGUUCUGUCGGAACCGCGACUCCGCGCUUUGCGUUAGUUGGCUAAUAUAUGGGUCCCGAAAAGGAAGAGCAUGAAUCCGAAAGAAUGCGGCGUGUUUUGACGAACGCAUUUACAGCGGCAUGCGACGGUUCAUACUCGGGU
This 151-nucleotide small RNA is filed under the name Sinorhizobium meliloti 2011. Its description in RNAcentral is "putative ncRNA". The record is from RNAcentral. Lineage: Bacteria; Pseudomonadati; Pseudomonadota; Alphaproteobacteria; Hyphomicrobiales; Rhizobiaceae.